Molecule: long non-coding RNA, 821 nt
Organism: Homo sapiens (human)
Lineage: Eukaryota; Metazoa; Chordata; Mammalia; Primates; Hominidae
Gene: FNDC1-AS1
Product: FNDC1 antisense RNA 1
Exons: 4
Source: RefSeq, marked validated
CCUUUCUUUUCCUUUUUUCCCCGCUGUGCCUGAAUCUCCCGGGACACUUAGACGGCUGGAGCCUCCCGACUCCAAGGCGGGCGACGGCAAAGUUAAACGCCAGCGCGCUGCGGUCCCCGGGCACCGAGGCGUCCCCGCUCCCGCCACCCACACAGGGCGCCAAGUGCCCCGACCCGCGAGUGACGAGGACGCACAGCCUGGAAGCCUCGCGGCCCUCCAGAUGGACUCGGAGCGCCCCUGGAGGCUACAGUGACCUAAGCUCUAGGAAGGCCGGGUCCUGGACGCCGCGUGCUGCUGUCCGCCGCCGACCGGUGUCCUCGCAGAGAUAACCUGGCUGAACUCACCGCCCAGCGCUAUGUCAGUUCUCCCUCAUGACAACCCAAAACUUGACCGGAUUUGUGUUCUGCAGAGAGGAAAAAAAAAAGCGGCCACCGAACACCAGUGCAGUAGCCAGGAUGGGCCUGUGGCUCUGGCUGCAGCCUCCAGGGACACCAGCUGGAGAGAAGGAAGCCACGCAUGGAGAGCGGCCAGGCUCAAAAUAUCUUAAAGAAAAUGGAACUCGGAGUCAGUCAUCUGUUCUCAACGUGGUCAUCUCAAAAAUAUGAGCACACGGAAGUUUUCUUCCUUCUUGUCAGUUUUGAGUCCAAUAUCAAUACUGUUGUCCUGUGAAAGAUUUUAAGAUUUAAAUGUUUUUUCAUGUAAUUUCCUGAUGUCUUGAUUGUUGCUUCUAUUUUGUUCAUCAAAACCAAACAGAGUGGAGGUUGCUCUGGGGCUGGAUGGAUGGCCAGUCAUUAAAAUCAAUGCCUUAUUAGUCUGCCUUA